RNAcentral lists this long non-coding RNA (1367 nucleotides) under Oryza sativa (Asian cultivated rice). Its description in RNAcentral is "long non-coding RNA (OSAT_LNC001924)". Lineage: Eukaryota; Viridiplantae; Streptophyta; Magnoliopsida; Poales; Poaceae. The record is from RNAcentral.
UUUCGGCAGUUUUGUCGAUCUGCGGUUUCUCGAAGACGUUGCUGUGGUCUCAUCAGUGCGAGAGCAAGGCAAGUCAUGCAUUACAAUUAAUCAUAUUGUACCCAAUUUACAAAUAUCCCGCAUUUCUAUUAAAUUUUGUAUUCUUUUACAAUGUCAUGUGGGAUGGGUCCUACUACUCAGCCAUAUAUUGUUUACCUUAUGCCAUUGAUAACUUGGGCAUCAAAAUGAUUAGAUGUUGGUUUAGGAAAUACUUAGCCAUGCUUAGUUCAACUAGUACAUAAAUAGGGAUCACAUUAUUACAUAGACUUUGACUAUUAGCAUAGCUUCGGAUUGGUGCCACCGCAAGGGUGUUAGUUAAUUAAAGGGGCAAUUGUGUUCUUGCCCCUACUUUGCAGUUCAAUUGUGAUUUUACCCCUGUUUUUAGGGUUUGUGAUUUUGCCCCUACUUUUUUGAAAUGAAGCACCCGUUUGCCCCUUUUUUUUGACGGUAGUUUGAUGGGCCCGAAAUUUCCCAAUAAAGCGAAGAAAGAAAAUGAUAUUAUAAUUUGUGAAUGACCAUUCUACCCUUGGUUUACUAAAAGGGCUUACCAUUAACCACUUCUCUUGCUGGAACGAUUUCCCCAAAUCGAAAACCUAGCGACAAGCGGCGGCGGCGGCGGCGACGGGCGCGGCAGGGAGGCGCGGCGGCCCCGCGGGCCAGCGCGCGGCAGGGAGACGUGGCGGCCCGGUGGUCCAACUGCCAUGGGCCAGCGCGCAGGAGGGCGCAGCGCGGCGGGCGCACGCGCAGGGAUCAAGACUUUUGUAAUUCAGGGGGAGGAGGACACCUGCAGCUUCGUCUUCCUCUGUCAGUGCCUUCGCUACCGCCUCCGAUUCGCAGAGGUGAUUUGAUCGAUUCAGCUUGGAGUUGCAUUGAGCCAUUGGUUGGGGACGCUGAUUUCAUCUUCUUGAUUGCGAAUCGGGGAUGGAUGUGAAUGUGAUUUGCGGGUUUGUAGGCUAGCCGGGAAGGUCGUCGUCAUCACCGGCGGCGCCAGCGGCAUCGGCAGGGCGACGGCGGAGGAGUUUAUUGUCCCAAAUAAUGUGUUCUAAUCAUAUGACGGAGAGGGUGUACAUAUUGUCCCAAAUAAUGUGUUCUGUCAUCUUUUUUAAAUUAUGUCAAAAUUAUUGCUAAAAUUCUGUCAAAACUAUCCUAAAUAUUGUGUUCUGUCAACUUGUACAAAAUUUAUCAACAUUUAGGUCCCAUAUGAAAAAUACGCACGAAUUUAACUUGAAACAUGUCCAAUGUUCAUGCCAAAAUUAUAGUAGGGGUAUAUUUGUCCAUUCACCACAUAUUUAACACCAUUAUAAUGAGGUAACAGAGUAGGGGCAAGC